GGUGCCCUGAAGGUGUUGAUUCUUUAGUUUUUGUUAAUCAUGUAUUUUACUGUAAUCAAUGAAUUAAUGAUUGAAUUGAUACAAAUGUAGAAAUGAAUGAAAAGAAAGUGGGUCUUCUAUCUACCUAUGAUAAUGACUCGUGGCAGAUGAGUUUUGGAUGAUGAAUACUAUUUAUUGAGAAUGUUGAGGUCUAAUUCACUAUAUAGUCUUUCUCUCUGUUUAUUUGAUCCUAUGGACAGAUGUUUGGAAAGCACAAAGAUAAUGGUUUUACUGGGUUCAUAGAUUUAGAUUUAUUAUUACAAAUGGAUCAAGGAUAGAACCAUUGAAGAAUAUGAAUAUCAGAUAAAUAUAAAAUCGUAAAGAAUUGUCCAACUGUGAAGACCUGUGUUUAGGCAAGAAAUAUUAAUAAAAAUUGUAAACACUGACACCCAUCAAGAAUUAAAUGUAUCAAGAGUGUCACUUCUUUAGUCAAUGAUCAUUUAGACAUGAACAAUUAAGAGUCAAUUUUAUUGUUCUGGGUCAAUCUUAAGUUUGAGGAUCUUUGUUAUUGUUGUUAAAAGAAAAAAAUCAAUGUUAUGAAAUAUUCAUAGAUAUCUAAAUGAGUAAAUGAAAUGUGGAAAGCAAGGAUCAAUGGAAAUAAAAGCUUUAUUCUAUUUUUUUUAUCAUCGACUGUGCUUUUCAUGUUUCAAAAUGGACACAUUUGAGCUGAUUUAAGCAUAUUCCAUGGUGGCGAGCUCAGUGGUUGCAUUUCUGUGUUAGAAGCACAGAGAACAAUAAUGGACACACUUGAGCUGAUUUAACAUCUUCCAUUAUCCUGAGUUCUAUGGUUGCCUCUAUAAUAGGAGGAUGGGGGAUUGGUGAUGGACAAGCUAGACCUGCUUUAAGGAUUCUCCCCUGAUCAAGAGCCUUAGGGUUGUAUUUUUGUAUUGGGAAGACAGGAGACAAAUAAUGGACAAACUCCAGCUGAUUGUAACAUUCUUCCAAGGUCAUGAGCCCUCUGGUUGCAUCUAUGUUGGAGGAGCAUGGAGACCCCAAUGGAUGCACUGGAACUGAUUAAAGCAUCUUCUAUGGUCGUGAGCUCCUGGUUGCCUCUGUAUAAGAAGAGGACAGAGGUUAAUAAUGGAUGCACUUGGGCUGAUCUCAUACCUUUAUGGGCGUGAGCUCUGUGGUUCCCUCUAUGUAAUUGGAAGAUGC
Long non-coding RNA from Zalophus californianus (California sea lion), 1194 nucleotides. RefSeq lists it as uncharacterized. The record is from RefSeq and is a predicted model, not a curated record. Lineage: Eukaryota; Metazoa; Chordata; Mammalia; Carnivora; Otariidae. The transcript is spliced from 6 exons.